Molecule: unclassified non-coding RNA, 148 nt
Organism: Pongo abelii (Sumatran orangutan)
Lineage: Eukaryota; Metazoa; Chordata; Mammalia; Primates; Hominidae
Rfam family: Metazoan signal recognition particle RNA
About the family: The signal recognition particle (SRP) is a universally conserved ribonucleoprotein. It is involved in the co-translational targeting of proteins to membranes.
Source: Ensembl
GCUGGGUGUGGUGGCGCACGCCUGUAAUCCUAGCUACUUGGGAGGCUGAGGCAGGAGAAUUGCUUGAACCCAGGAGGUGGAGGUUGCAGUGAGCCUAGAUCAUGCCACUGCACUCCAGCCUGGGCGACAGAGUGAGACUCCACCUCAA